This 243-nucleotide small RNA is filed under the name Notechis scutatus (mainland tiger snake). Its description in RNAcentral is "7SK RNA (ENSNSUG00000018509.1)". The stretch from base 1 to 184 matches the Rfam family "7SK RNA". From Rfam's summary of the family: 7SK was discovered as an abundant small nuclear RNA in the mid-70s but a possible function has only recently been suggested. Two independent studies have found that 7SK RNA binds the CDK9/cyclin T complex (known as elongation factor P-TEFb). The record is from RNAcentral. Lineage: Eukaryota; Metazoa; Chordata; Lepidosauria; Squamata; Elapidae.
GGAUCUGAAGGGAAUUAGGCUGUGACGUCUGUCACCCCAUUGAUGGCCAGGGUUGAUCAGCUGAGUUGGCUGGCUAGGUGGGUGUCCCCUUCUUUCUUCAUUGCUCCAUUUACAUCGUUCCCAAAGCUGCAUGCUUGGUGGAAGAGGAUGAACAGAAUAACAUAGCUGUAAGGGACCUUAGAGAUCUUCUAGUCCAACUCCUUGCUCAAACAAGACCCUAUACCAUUUCAAAUCAAUGUCUCU